Grammomys surdaster is the source of this 1519-nucleotide long non-coding RNA. RefSeq lists it as uncharacterized. The record is from RefSeq and is a predicted model, not a curated record. The transcript has 3 exons. Lineage: Eukaryota; Metazoa; Chordata; Mammalia; Rodentia; Muridae.
AACAGGGCCUAGGCCACUGUGGAUUUCUUCAUUAGGUAUAAUUUUUUUCUGAUUAUGAAACUGGAUUCAUCAGUUCUCAGCUCACUGGUUUAUUCUACUGAAUAAAUUCUUACCUAAAGCUAGGCUUCCCUCCUCCUGCUGUCUUUGCAAGUCUUCCAAGCAUCUAUGAAAUGAUUGUAUUCUGUGUUUCUCAGCCCCUGAAUAUGGUCCAUCGACUUUACAUCCCUAGUUCUUCUCUUAGGCUCUCAUUUCUCAAUGGAGUCUGUCUAUUCUUCCUGUUCUCUUUAGACCUCCCUUUUAUUGCUUUUCUCUGUUUCUUUCCUUCCCCUUCUUUCCCUCCUUACCUGUCUCCUUCACGUUAAACAUGGGAGAUAUAGGCCUUGCUGCAGAGGAAGGGGCAGUCACAUGAUUUCAAAAUCCUGAAAUGUUACCCAGUAGAAAGCAGGACAGUGGAAUCAUUCUCUGAUGGGAUGCUGCCUGCCACCGACCGGGGUUACAGUUAGGCUGAGGUCAAGAACAAGCCCAGCGGCCUACAAGGCUCAAAGCAGGCAGUGACCUUGCUUCCAGCUGCAGUGGCUGUUCCUUUGAAUUCUGGCGCUGAUCCCACACCAAGUAGAGCUGAGCAGCCUGCCAGAUUCGGAAGACAGGACUGCUGGUGAGACUGCAGAGCAUGCGCAGGAAUGGACAGGCACAUGACAGCUGGCGUCGCACACCACGCCCUGGAAUGUCCUGGAAGAAAAGACUCCAGCUCUUCCACCCAUUGCUUCAGGAAAGGCCACGCCCCCACUUCCACUCUCGUCCAAUCGGGAAAAGAGGGAGGGGCAGCCUCUAUCCUGCUCCACCAAUGCUAUAAAGGGAGCUGCCCAGGAAAGCUGAGGGUUAGCAUUUUUCUGUAGGUGAGCCUGUUAGUAGGCCAGAAGACCAAGCGAAAUGUGGGGGCGCACAGUGAAUUUGGAGGGUCCUGUUAUGUGGAGCAGCCUCCAGUGACUUGAGCUUAGGGAACCUGUGUAAAUUUCCUCGGAGAAAAGCGCAGCAGCUACAGAGAUUUUGGGAUUGGAUCCUAGACCCUGAGGAGAUUGGGACCUGCGGCCUGGCUGAAGGCCUCAUGUGUUCUGAUUCCUUACUACCCGCGUGGGUGGGUUCUUACACAGCUGGGUUUUCAGAAAAAUAUGCUAGCCUUUUGUGCUGUUUGGAAGGUACCAGUGCCACCCAAGAGACAUCCAAUUAUAUGAACAUGAAUCCUUCCACAAGGACAGUGGCGACAUCAUUCUUUGUGUGGUCAAAGCAGUUGCAAAAAAACCAACCAAGCAGUGAAUGCCUGUCGCCUGUAAAGAUCCUACAGCAUGAAAGCAUGUCUGAUUCUACAAAUUGGCCAUAAGUCACUGAGCCUGCGUGAGGCAGGAGCGGAAAAGGAGGGGGCUUCCGAAAAGAUGGCGGCUGCUCCUGCUGGUGUGGGCCGCCUCGAAGGAGAGGCGCUGCCGCAGAAAUAACGGCUGAAGGCCCUCGGGAGAAAAGUGGG